This 301-nucleotide ribosomal RNA is filed under the name uncultured bacterium. RNAcentral's name for it is "partial 16S ribosomal RNA". It matches the Rfam family "Bacterial small subunit ribosomal RNA", at positions 509 to 809 of the family's 1533-position model. The record is from RNAcentral.
CAGCAGCCGCGGGAAUACGUAGGUGGCAAGCGUUGUCCGGAAUUAUUGGGCGUAAAGCGCGCGCAGGCGGCUUCCCAAGUCCCUCUUAAAAGUGCGGGGCUUAACCCCGUGAUGGGAAGGAAACUGGGAAGCUGGAGUAUCGGAGAGGAAAGUGGAAUUCCUAGUGUAGCGGUGAAAUGCGUAGAUAUUAGGAAGAACACCAGUGGCGAAGGCGACUUUCUGGACGAAACCUGACGCUGAGGCGCGAAAGCCAGGGGAGCGAACGGGAUUAGAUACCCCGGUAGUCCCUGUCUCUUAUACA